Molecule: non-coding RNA, 54 nt
Filed under: Enterobacteriaceae bacterium B14
Lineage: Bacteria; Pseudomonadati; Pseudomonadota; Gammaproteobacteria; Enterobacterales; Enterobacteriaceae
Description: L31-Gammaproteobacteria ribosomal protein leader
Rfam family: L31-Gammaproteobacteria ribosomal protein leader
Source: RNAcentral
CGCGUGGUGUGCGGCGAAAAAUGACCGUAUAGCGACGCGGCCUUAACUAGAGGU